This 145-nucleotide small nuclear RNA is filed under the name Crocodylus porosus (Australian saltwater crocodile). Its description in RNAcentral is "U1 spliceosomal RNA (ENSCPRG00005001012.1)". It matches the Rfam family "U1 spliceosomal RNA". Rfam says of the family: U1 is a small nuclear RNA (snRNA) component of the spliceosome (involved in pre-mRNA splicing). Its 5' end forms complementary base pairs with the 5' splice junction, thus defining the 5' donor site of an intron. Lineage: Eukaryota; Metazoa; Chordata; Crocodylia; Crocodylidae. The record is from RNAcentral.
AUACUUACCUGGCAGGGGAGACACCAUGAUCUGGAAGGUGGUUUUCCCAGGGUAAUUGUCUCUGAUAUGUCCUCCAUAGGAGGUCUAUAUUGAACAGAUUCUUUUUGAUAUUGGUUGGUGGACCUGGAGUGUGCUCCAUCCACUC